CUAAUGACAAGUUCCGCAAGUGCUGUCGUUGUGUGAUUCGUCGAAAGUACAUUAAAUUUGAUAAGAUAGACGCAUUGAACCGCAAUAGUGUCUCUAAUGAAUUUUUCUAUAAAUAUCAAAAACGUUACAUGGACAAUUCAUCAGACAAAAAAGUAAACUGUAUUUCUUCAAAAUGAUAUCGAAAGUCUUAGUAAUAUUUUUUGCAGUCUUCGUGACUCUAGCUGUACUCAUGGAGGUUGAGGCUUAUGGUAAAUGUAUCAAACCAAGCUAUGAAUGUCUUGAUGAUCGUCAGUGCUGCUCCAGACGUUGUGCACCUUCAUUUUUACCGGAUAUGAAAGCAUGUUAUUAAUCAUCACCACAUGUGCAAAAAUACUCUAGUAUAACAAAAAAAAAAAAAAUGUUUAAAAUGAGUAUACUUAUUUCCUGUUAUUGUCGAUAAAAUAAAAACAUAUAACGAAAAUAUUCAA
This is a long non-coding RNA of Microplitis demolitor, 467 nucleotides long. RefSeq lists it as uncharacterized. The transcript is spliced from 2 exons. Lineage: Eukaryota; Metazoa; Arthropoda; Insecta; Hymenoptera; Braconidae. The record is from RefSeq and is a predicted model, not a curated record.